This 497-nucleotide ribosomal RNA is filed under the name uncultured bacterium. Its description in RNAcentral is "partial 16S ribosomal RNA". It matches the Rfam family "Bacterial small subunit ribosomal RNA", at positions 28 to 507 of the family's 1533-position model. The record is from RNAcentral.
GAUGAACGCUGGCGGCGUGCCUAAUACAUGCAAGUCGAGCGAACAGACGAGGCGCUUGCUCCUCUGACGUUAGCGGCGGACGGGUGAGUCACACGUGGAUAACCUACCUAUAAGACUGGGAUAACUUCGGGAAACCGGAGCUAAUACCGGAUAAUAUAUUGCACCGCAUUGUUCAAUAGUGAAAGACGGUUUUGCUGUCACUUAUAGAUGGAUCCGCGCCGCAUUAGCUAGUUGGUAAGGUAACGGCUUACCAAGGCAACGAUGCGUAGCCGACCGGAGAGGGUGGUCGGCCACACGGGAGCUGAGACGCGGACCAGACUCCUACGAGAGGCAGCAGUAGGGAAUCUUCCGCAAUGGGCGAGAGCCUGACGGAGCAACGCCGCGUGAGUGAUGAAGGUCUUCGGAGCGUAAAGCUCUGUUAUUAGGGGAGAACAAAUGUGUAAGUAACUGUGCACGUCUUGACGGUACCUGGUCAGAAAGCCACGGCUAACUACGUG